This is a long non-coding RNA of Homo sapiens (human), 655 nucleotides long. The record is from Ensembl. NCBI's taxonomy places the organism in Eukaryota, Metazoa, Chordata, Mammalia, Primates, Hominidae.
GCAGAGCAGGGACUGGAACUUAGGUGUGUAGUUCUGCCGACGUCAAAGUCCAUACUACAGAUUUUUUGUUAGUUUGUUUCUCUUUUGCAAAGGAAUAAAUCAAGGACUGGACCGGGUGCGUGCCUGCUCUGCUGCGGUUUAGGAUGGGGCUUGAGGUUCUCCUUCCAGGAUCAGCUGAUGGGAGAGCACAAGGCACAGAAAGUUCUCUGUCUCACCCACAGCCAUGGGGAUCCAGCUGUAGGUUCCUGCAGCCAGAUUUCCUCAUUUCCUGGGUUGUUCUCAACCACCCCAAAGAUACCACGACCAGACUGGAGCCUCUUCCCUGUGGCUUGGCAUCGCUGGAUCCUGGCAUCAGGACAGGGUUUCUAGGCUGCCCGCAGGACGGAUCUGGUUUCUUUGAGGCAUUUGAGGUCUUAUUCUGAAUUUGAAUUUGUUUAUCCAGAAGGAGUGCUGUUUCCUGGCUGGAGUGCAGUGGCAUGAUCAUAGCUCAUUGCAGCCUCAAACACCUGUGCUCAAGCAAUUCUCCUGCCUCAGCUUCCUGAGUAGCUAGGACUACAAGCAUGUGCCACCAUGGCCAGCUAAGUGUUUUUUGUAGAUAUGGGGGUCCCAUAAAUAUGUACAUUUACAAUGUGUCCAUUAAAAAAAUAAACAAAAA